CGCCGCGGUUAAACGGGGGACUCGAGUUGAUAAUCACCGGCGUAAAGCGUGGUUAGACAUACUAAAAAACUAAAGCCGAAAACACUCACAGCAGUCAUACGCAGGAAGGUUAUAAGCCCACUUACGAAAGUAGCUUUAAAACAUCUUGAAUCCACGAAAACUGGGGAA
Molecule: ribosomal RNA, 168 nt
Filed under: Nemipterus furcosus (fork-tail threadfin bream)
Lineage: Eukaryota; Metazoa; Chordata; Actinopteri; Spariformes; Nemipteridae
Description: partial 12S rRNA
Source: RNAcentral